GGCAGCUUCAAAAGGAGGGCAUAAUUUGGAGGCUCCUAGCUUGCAACAUGGUUCUAGUUCUCGACAAAACUCAAUAGAUGAAAUUGAGGAAGAAAUUGAUGGCGAAGAUGGCGAUGAAGAGGACGGUGAAGAUGACAAUGUUCAGAGAAGGAAAUUUGUUGCAAAUCCAAGAAACUCUUCAACCCAGCAAGAUGAAAGCCUUAUUGGGAUGGAUGUGCUUCUCUAUGCAUGGACUGGUCCUGAAACUCCUGUUGCUAAGGCAACAGUUCUCUCAGUCGAUCCAGACACAACUGUGGGUGGGGAGCCCCUUGGACCUGGUACUUAUGAGGUUAUUGUGAAUGUUGCCAUUAAAAGGGAUACUAUUCUUCCAUAUCAGUACGAGGACUUACUAUACAUUAGGGAUGCUGUCACAAGGUCCAUUGCAUGGCCAUCUAGCAAGAUGAAGCCCUACAAACCAGCUGUGUCUGGCUCAUCUCGCCACUGAGAUUUUUCAGUUCAAAAUCAGUUUCGAAGACAUCAACUGAAGAUGAUGUGUCCCCUCUAAAUAUGAAUUAUCAUGCUAAACAUUUCCCGCGAGCCACCAAGCCACCAAGUACCUGG
Molecule: long non-coding RNA, 600 nt
Organism: Lolium rigidum
Lineage: Eukaryota; Viridiplantae; Streptophyta; Magnoliopsida; Poales; Poaceae
Exons: 5
Source: RefSeq, a predicted model, not a curated record